Maylandia zebra (zebra mbuna) is the source of this 958-nucleotide non-coding RNA. The record is from RefSeq and is a predicted model, not a curated record. Lineage: Eukaryota; Metazoa; Chordata; Actinopteri; Cichliformes; Cichlidae.
AAUUCGUUUUCUCAUCAUACAAAGUUCUGUUGUUCCACUGGCUGCCUUUUCACACUGGAGAUAUUUUGGGUUGAUGACCCUUCGUCUUGAUGCCAGAGUGAAAAAGAAACUGAAAAACCCUCAGAGAAGGAAGAAUCAGACUUCAACUGUCCAGACUCAGGACUGAUGACUCGGGUCAGUAGCUGUGUGAGGUGACAACUAGUGACAACUAAAAUAACAAAUUCCAUUCCCCCGCAUGCUCCAGAGUAGUGGUAUGACCCAAUUUGCAGAUUUCCACAUAGGCUUGCUCUGACUGUUUUCCACCUUUUAGCUCGUCAACCAAGGGACUGGGAGCAGCUGCCACUGAGAACAUCUGUGAGGUACACCUGAGGGGGAUCUUUGGUUGCCAGUCUUGAGGAACACCAGCACAUAUCCAAACAUGAAAGAUGGAAUGUUGUGGAGAAAAACGGAUGCGUGGUUGGCCCUGGCAGAACUCAUAGUUCAGCAACUGGAUUUCUGGAGCAGUGUCUACGCAAUGUCAUGAAAAAGGCUUCUUCUAUCAGGAAGAAGAAUUCACUAAAGGACCAAUAGAAGGUUUGUAUAUUUCUUGCUCUUGAACAUAUGCUGCUUCUCAUCUUGGAUGUCACACUCCUGAAAACAGGGGAGAAUCACGUGAGUUAUUUUCAGUUUCUUCUCUCAUGGAGUAGUUUAAUGCAAUCAAAAAUGAACAUAAGUAUUUUACAGGACUGCAGUGCAUUAUCUAACUGCAGAAAAGCAUUAGAUGAUGAACUAUACAACUAAAGGGUAAAUAGAAAAAUAAUUAGUAUAAAAACAAACAAGCAGAGGCACCUUUAUCUGAAGCACAAGCUCAAGAUUUUCAUCAAAGCCUCCUCACCCUGUGGUCUUGGGCUGAGGAGGCUGGAUUCUGUUGCAUUUGUACAGAACAGAACAGAAUCGUGUUUAUUGGCCAAGUAUAUAU